This 202-nucleotide long non-coding RNA is filed under the name Linum usitatissimum (flax). RNAcentral's name for it is "long non-coding RNA (LUSI_LNC000933)". The record is from RNAcentral. Lineage: Eukaryota; Viridiplantae; Streptophyta; Magnoliopsida; Malpighiales; Linaceae.
UUUAUAUGUUGUAAACAGUGGAAAAGGAUAGAAUAUGUUAAGGGGCGGGGUAAACAAGGUUCCUACGCAUUCUAUUAACUAUCACAACCAUUUCAAUGUGCAGCUGGUGGUGCUCGAUUGAAGGAUGUACGAAUUGGCGUCACAUUGUCAUGGGUAUCCUUUCUGCAGGUAUAAUAUUUUCUGGGUAUCCUGAGUCUUUUAU